AUGCUCACUUUGGCUGCACACAUAUCAAAAUUAGAAUGAUAUGGAGAAGAUUAGCAUGGCCCCUGCACAAGGAUGCCAUGCAAAUUCAUGAAGUGUUCCAUAUUUUU
This 107-nucleotide small nuclear RNA is filed under the name Phascolarctos cinereus (koala). The record is from RNAcentral. Lineage: Eukaryota; Metazoa; Chordata; Mammalia; Diprotodontia; Phascolarctidae.